AUAAGAUUGAACUAAUCAAUCUCUGUGGGACAAUAUUCAGACUCAAUUAAUCCACUUUAUUACUUGUUAACGAACCGUACAUUUGUGGUGAUUUAAAUCGAAAGAAAAUAUUUCAUGAACAGAAAUCACGAACAAUCUUCUAGUUCCUGUUAAUUCAUUCAUGAAUGCGGAAAGCUGUGCAUCAAAGAGUCGUCGAUUCCGCGGAAUGCCAAGAAUUUGGACAAAUAAUUCAGAACACUCAAUUUUCAUUUCAUUAUCUUUUUUUCAAAAGACCAAGGUGGUCUUUUUUGGGAAUAAAAUAGAAUAAUUUUUUUUUUAUGACCAUGGGUAUUUGAGUCAGUUUACACACACCUCAACUAAUUCCAUGGAGUCCUAAAGUUUACUGCCGGAUACUCACCUCAGUAGCUCGAAGGGGAGUCAAACUGAUGACUAUAGGGAAACAAACCCAAGGUCUGACCACUGAGCUACCCCUCAGGGUUUAAAAUAAAAUAACUUUCUAUUUGGAAAUUUCAAUAUACCACAAUAGAAUCAUAUAUUAUAAUAAUAAAAAAUGCCAUAAGCAAAUCUUAGUCAAAGGAAACAAUCCAAAAUCAUCAUAAAACAAUAAAAUCUUAAAAAUACCAUAAUAGAGAAAUUCCAUAAGUGGAUUGCAUUACCUGUUGAGAAGUAGAUGGCAAUAUAAUCUUAUGGAAUAAAAUGACCACAUUUAUUCAUCAAUUAUUGAAAAUUUAUAUUAUCAACUAUAAAGUAUGCCUUUUGCAUUUAUGUGCAUAAUCUAAUGUAACUUAGAAAACUUCAAUAUUUGCUCAGGAAUAAAUAAUAAUGAGUCGCAACCUAAC
This 839-nucleotide long non-coding RNA is filed under the name Olea europaea subsp. europaea. The record is from RNAcentral. Lineage: Eukaryota; Viridiplantae; Streptophyta; Magnoliopsida; Lamiales; Oleaceae.